RNAcentral lists this unclassified non-coding RNA (376 nucleotides) under soil metagenome. RNAcentral's name for it is "partial contains 5.8S ribosomal RNA, internal transcribed spacer 2, and large subunit ribosomal RNA". The stretch from base 1 to 120 matches the Rfam family "5.8S ribosomal RNA", at positions 35 to 154 of the family's 154-position model. The record is from RNAcentral.
GAUGAAGAACGCAGCGAAAUGCGAUAAGUAAUGUGAAUUGCAGAAUUCAGUGAAUCAUCGAAUCUUUGAACGCAUCUUGCGCUCCUUGGUAUUCUGAGGAGCAUGCCUGUUUGAGUGUCAUUAAAUUCUCAACUACACUGACUUUGAAUUGGUGUGGCUUGGAUUUGGGGGGAAAAUUGUUGUGGGCUUUUUGUAUAGUCUGCUCCCCUGAAAUUGAUUAGCGGUACCUUUGUGGAACUGUCUACAGGUGUGAUAAUUAUCUACAUCUUAGACAUCUGCUGGAAUGCUGCUCUCUAAACCUUACUUGUAUUGACAAUCUGGACCUCAAAUCAGGUAGGACUACCCGCUGAACUUAAGCAUAUCAAUAAGCGGAGGA